RNAcentral lists this ribosomal RNA (472 nucleotides) under uncultured bacterium. RNAcentral describes it as "bacterial SSU rRNA". It matches the Rfam family "Bacterial small subunit ribosomal RNA", at positions 28 to 507 of the family's 1533-position model. The record is from RNAcentral.
GACGAACGCUGGCGGCGUGCCUAACACAUGCAAGUCGAGCGGGGUUGAAGCGAGGGGUAACUCGAGUUUCUACCUAGCGGCGGACGGGUGAGUAACGCGUGGGCAACCUGCCUCAAGGACUGGGAUAACAGCUCGAAAGGGCUGCUAAUACCGGAUAUGCCUGUGGCCUCGCAUGGGGCUAUGAGCAAAGGGGAAACCCGCCUUGAGAUGGGCCCGCGUCCCAUCAGCUAGUUGGUGAGGUGAAGGCUCACCAAGGCGACGACGGGUAGCCGGCCUGAGAGGGUGACCGGCCACACUGGGACUGAGACACGGCCCAGACUCCUACGGGGGGCAGCAGUGGGGAAUAUUGCACAAUGGGCGAAAGCCUGAUGCAGCGAUGCCGCGUGAGGGAAGAAGGUUUUCGGAUUGUAAACCUCUGUCAUCUGGGACGAUAAUGACGGUACCAGAGAAGGAAGCUCCGGCUAACUACGUG